Small nucleolar RNA from Astyanax mexicanus (Mexican tetra), 70 nucleotides. Its record names the gene SNORD18. It matches the Rfam family "Small nucleolar RNA SNORD18". Rfam says of the family: U18 is a member of the C/D class of snoRNA which contain the C (UGAUGA) and D (CUGA) box motifs. It is encoded in introns of ribosomal protein L1 in Xenopus and human, and in introns of elongation factor 1 beta in yeast. Lineage: Eukaryota; Metazoa; Chordata; Actinopteri; Characiformes; Acestrorhamphidae. The record is from Ensembl.
CUGCAGUGAUGAGCUUCCACUUCUGGUCCGUGUUUAUGAGCACCAUGAUUUUUUAAGAAGUUCUGAGUAA